CCUACGGGUGGCAGCAGUGGGGAAUAUUGGGCAAUGGAGGCAACUCUGACCCAGCAACGCCGCGUGAAUGAUGAAGGUCUUCGGAUUGUAAAGUUCUUUUCUAAGGGAAGAAGAAAGUGACGGUACCUUAGGAAUAAGCCUCGGCUAACUACGUGCCAGCAGCCGCGGUAAUACGUAGGAGGCAAGCGUUAUCCGGAAUGACUGGUGGUAAAGGGGGGGUAGGUGGUUUGACAAGUUAGUAGCGAAACUCCGGAGCUCAACUUCGGAACUACUACUAAAACUGUUGGACUUGAGUGCAGGAGAGGCAAUCGGAAUUCCUAGUGUAGCGGUGGAAUGCGUAGAUAUAUGGAAGAACACCAGUGGCGAAAGCGGCUUUCUGGUCUGUAACUGACGCUGAGGUUCGAAAGCGUGGGUAGCAAACAGGAUUAGAUACCCCUGUAGUC
Molecule: ribosomal RNA, 443 nt
Filed under: uncultured bacterium
Lineage: Bacteria
Description: partial 16S ribosomal RNA
Rfam family: Bacterial small subunit ribosomal RNA
Source: RNAcentral